UUGCGCCGGCGACGGGUUCAUUCAAAUUUCUGCCCUAUCAACUUUCGAUGGUAAGGUAUUGGCUUACCAUGGUUUCAACGGGUAACGGGGAAUUAGGGUUCGAUUCCGGAGAGGGAGCCUGAGAAACGGCUACCACAUCCAAGGAAGGCAGCAGGCGCGCAAAUUACCCAAUCCCGACACGGGGAGGUAGUGACAAUAAAUACUGAUACAGGGCUCUUUUGGGUCUUGUAAUCGGAAUGAGUACAAUUUAAACCUCUUAACGAGGAACAAUUGGAGGGCAAGUCUGGUGCCAGCAGCCGCGGUAAUUCCAGCUCCAAUAGCGUAUAUUAAAGUUGUUGCAGUUAAAAAGCUCGUAGUUGAACCUUGGGCCUGGCUGGCUGGUCCGCCUCACCGCGUGUACUGGUCCGGCCGGGCCUUUCCUUCUGGAGAUCCCCAUGCCCUUUACUGGGUGUGUGGGGGAACCAGGACUUUUACUUUGAAAAAAUUAGAGUGUUCAAAGCAGGCCUUUGCUCGAAUACGUUAGCAUGGAAUAAUAGAAUAGGACGUGCGGUCCUAUUUUGUUGGUUUCUAGGAUCGCCGUAAUGAUUAAUAGGGAUAGUCGGGGGCAUCAGUAUUCAAUUGUCAGAGGUGAAAUUCUUGGAUUUAUUGAAGACUAACUACUGCGAAAGCAUUUGCCAAGGAUGUUUUCAUUAAUCAGUGAACGAAAGUUAGGGGAUCGAAGACGAUCAGAUACCGUCGUAGUCUUAACCGUAAACUAUGCCGACU
RNAcentral lists this ribosomal RNA (765 nucleotides) under Pseudotrichia rubriostiolata. RNAcentral describes it as "SSU rRNA". It matches the Rfam family "Eukaryotic small subunit ribosomal RNA", at positions 279 to 1047 of the family's 1831-position model. The record is from RNAcentral. Lineage: Eukaryota; Fungi; Ascomycota; Dothideomycetes; Pleosporales; Melanommataceae.